Molecule: ribosomal RNA, 380 nt
Filed under: uncultured eukaryote
Lineage: Eukaryota
Description: SSU rRNA
Rfam family: Eukaryotic small subunit ribosomal RNA
Source: RNAcentral
AGCUCCAAUAGCGUAUAUUAAAGUUGUUGCAGUUAAAAAGCUCGUAGUUGGAUUUCUGGUGGGAGUGAUCGGUCCUUCACUUUGUGUUGGAACCUGAUUGUCUCCUGCCAUCCAUGGAGAGAACUUAUCUGGCAUUAAGUUGUCGGGUAGGCAAUCUCCAUCCUUUACUGUGAAAAAAUUAGAGUGUUCAAAGCAGGCUUAUGCCGUUGAAUACAUUAGCAUGGAAUAAUAAGAUAGGACUAUGGUACUAUUUUGUUGGUUUGUGCACCAUAGUAAUGAUUAAUAGGGACAGUUGGGGGUAUUCGUAUUCCAUUGUCAGAGGUGAAAUUCUUGGAUUUAUGGAAGACGAACUACUGCGAAAGCAUUUACCAAGGAUGUUU